UUGAAAAUAAAAUAAAAACGUUGCGUUAUAAAUUAUGACCGGGCCAAAUAUGAAAUGAUAAUAUAAAGAAAUAAAGAAAUACGUAAAGCUGCAAAUGAUAAUAAUUAACAUAAGUAUAUAUAGGCAUGCACACAUAUGCAUAAAAAUUAAACAAAUUGUAUGUGCAUAUAUUUAAAUGAAAAGCGGUGUGCAAAAAUUCAUGCGAACCCAGCAACAACAACAGCAACAACGAAAAAACAACAGUAAUAUUUGUUUCUAUUGCGGCUGCUGCUAACGAUGAUGACAUUGAUAAUCAUGAUGAUGUUGUUGCUGAUGAUGAUGAAGCAGUGCAGCAAUAGCAAACGCAGCUAAGAACGGCUCUCCAUAGCAAAAGGCCAAGAACUAAGCGCCAAGUGGAGCGAAAUUAUGCUGUUGCCUGCGCCGCGAAUUGUAGCUUAAGUGGGCGUGGCGUGGUAUUCAUGAUGCGACUUGCGAAGCUGACGCAAAGCUUAACGCUCAAAAAUGCAACGCAAAAGUGCACGGAUCCGUCGCACACCAAGCGUCACGGGAGCAGCAGCAGCAACGGUGCGGG
This 571-nucleotide small RNA is filed under the name Drosophila virilis. Its description in RNAcentral is "GJ15302". The record is from RNAcentral. Lineage: Eukaryota; Metazoa; Arthropoda; Insecta; Diptera; Drosophilidae.